RNAcentral lists this long non-coding RNA (555 nucleotides) under Lathyrus oleraceus (garden pea). RNAcentral describes it as "Pisum sativum (pea) long non-coding RNA (PSAT_LNC030610)". The record is from RNAcentral. Lineage: Eukaryota; Viridiplantae; Streptophyta; Magnoliopsida; Fabales; Fabaceae.
UUUGGGCGUGUAUUGUUGGGGUUCUUUUUCUUGGGUUAUCUGUAACACCCAUAAACCAUAAACACGUCAUUUAUAAAAACAUGCGGAGUAUAUUACUCAAAUAGGAUGCUACAUUUCUCGGCAUAACAUUCUCAAUCAUAAUAGAAGCAAAAAAAUAACUUUCAACACAACUCUAAAUUGUCUCAUAAAUAAAAAUUAACUUCAUUUAAUCAUAAAAUAAUUAAUUCAAAAACUCGUAGAAAAUAAAAUAAAGUCUUCUCAACCCAGUGUUACACUAUCAGAGUGAAAUGCAAUAAUUAUGGUGAUUAUAAGUAUAGAAAGUCGGAAUGAUGAAUACCUGAACUGAAGGAAAAUCUCCAUGAGAAGACCAGACCAAAGGCUCGAAGGGUGCAGUGUGAUCGUAUUGAAAGUGAGACAUUUUGGCUGAACUGAACUUCACCCUAUUUGUGUCUGACUCUUCUUCUUCUUCAUUGUCAUAUUCUUCUUCUUCUAGUUAAACUUGUUGUUAUUGUUGGGUUUUUGAGUGGUUGUGUUAUGAAAAGAAGUUGUAUGGAU